This 591-nucleotide unclassified non-coding RNA is filed under the name Hevea brasiliensis (rubber tree). The record is from RNAcentral. Lineage: Eukaryota; Viridiplantae; Streptophyta; Magnoliopsida; Malpighiales; Euphorbiaceae.
GAAAAAUGGAGAAAACACACUCGAUAAAAAUCAUGCUUCAUUUGAACAGAAAAAACCAAAAAUGAUUUGAAAUAGUCCCUCAAAGAUUAUUUUAGCUUUGAUACCAUGUUAGAAAAUGAAUACUCAAGUUUUAACACAGAGGAGAGCUCAAAAACACAACUUAUGAACAUAAAUAAAACAUAAGUUCUGCAAAAUAUGCAGCAACAAAAACAAGGAACCAUGUUGAAAAACCAGAAGAGAGAGGGAGUUGAAAAUGAUUCUCAACAAAGACAAAAUGUUCACAUUAGCAUAACAUAAAAAGAUUGGAGAUAAAGAGUAAAACUCAUAUUUCAUUACAUAAAACAGAACAUUUACAAAAGAUUUAACGGAGAUUUUCUUCUUCAUUUUUUCUUCAAUAGCUCACUCCCUCACUCUCUGCUCACUCUGAUUACACAGCACACACACAGUUACAAAACUCUAGCACUCUUCCUUUUAAUAGACAAAGGAAUGCCAUCUCCAAGUUAACAAAUGCCAUAUUUGCACCAUGUCCAGGUAUGGCUUAUAUCAUCUCUUGCACACAUAUUUUUCCACCUAAUUUUCACCAAAAACUCA